UGGCCGCGUGUGCGCGCGCGCGCGUUUGUGUGUGUGUGUGUCGAGGAGCACAUGGACGACUUUGGACGAGAUUUAGCAGGGCUGCUAAUUAACACAGCCCAUCGCCUGGGGCUAAAUGGGCCACGCAAAACGCGUUUUAACACCGGAAACACGGCCACGGGGUCGUGUUUCAUACCAGACGAGGAUAAAAACGCGGCACCUCCUGAGAGCGACCAUUACAUGAUCCUAUUACUCCACACGAGGCGGAAUUGGAACAGGGCUGGAGUUUGAUUGAGCAUAGUGCCAACAGUGAUUUUUCUGGAAUUUCUGGGUCAGACUGUCAUCCAUGCUUGAAAUCACGUCUCCUUGUGCUAACGGCUCAGCAAAGAUCCAGGAGCUGCAUUAUCCUGAUCAAUGACUGCAGGGAACACUGGGUGCGAGGCGGGAGUGCAGUCUGGAGGGAACCCCAGUUCGGUGUGAAUAUGUUUCACAGACACUAAUCUCUAAACUAAGCUCACACUACGCUUAACCCGCAUAAGGAUGAGUAUAAGGAUCUAAAUGUAAUUAAUGAUGUGCUGUAAUAAUUACUUGCUCUGAAUUUGUCCAGGAUGCGUUAUAACCAGAAUUACAUAACACUACCCUCUUGAUUAGAACGAACAGAUGAGUGCAGUGCCAGAUGUUGUUAUAAAAAGUGUUUAAAACUGUCAAUUUGUCAAUAGAGAUUUUGCACUGUUCAUUUAACUUUAAUGGUAUAAGUGCUUAUAGCAAUUCUAUAUGCACAUGAGCACAUACAUACUGUAUACACAUAAACUGUGUACUGUAAUUUAUAUUACAGAUACAAGUGAUUUAUCAGUAAUCAUCCUUUGGUUCUGUUGUGUUCCCUCUGUGCCAUGUUUUUUUUUAUGAGCACACACUGUUAGAAACUUUUUAAUUGGUUAAUUAACCCUUAGCAAAUCCUUUUUUGUGCCAAAAUAAACAUGCAGAAUUGUCUUUAUCGGUUGUUAAAAGGUGUGCAUGUAGGCCAUUAGUUAAUUAUUUGAUAAUGUUCUGUUUACACGUUUUUGGCGACACUUUUUAUGUUUCCAUGUUUUAUAUUUAUAUAAUAAAUGUUAUCUUCCAUGUUA
Molecule: long non-coding RNA, 1103 nt
Organism: Clarias gariepinus (North African catfish)
Lineage: Eukaryota; Metazoa; Chordata; Actinopteri; Siluriformes; Clariidae
Exons: 4
Source: RefSeq, a predicted model, not a curated record